GACGAACGCUGGCGGCGUGCUUAACACAUGCAAGUCGAACGGAAAGGCCCUGCUUUUGUGGGGUGCUCGAGUGGCGAACGGGUGAGUAACACGUGAGUAACCUGCCCUUGACUUUGGGAUAACUUCAGGAAACUGGGGCUAAUACCGGAUAGGGGCUCCUGCUGCAUGGUGGGGGUUGGAAAGUUUCGGCGGUUGGGGAUGGACUCGCGGCUUAUCAGCUUGUUGGUGGGGUAGUGGCUUACCAAGGCUUUGACGGGUAGCCGGCCUGAGAGGGUGACCGGCCACAUUGGGACUGAGAUACGGCCCAGACUCCUACGGGAGGCAGAAGUGGGGAAUAUUGCACAAUGGGCGGAAGCCUGAUGCAGCAACGCCGCGUGCGGGAUGACGGCCUUCGGGUUGUAAACCGCUUUCGCCUGUGACGAAGCGUGAGUGACGGUAAUGGGUAAAGAAGCACCGGCUAACUACGUG
Molecule: ribosomal RNA, 468 nt
Filed under: uncultured bacterium
Lineage: Bacteria
Description: partial 16S ribosomal RNA
Rfam family: Bacterial small subunit ribosomal RNA
Source: RNAcentral